GAUGAACGCUGGCGGCGUGCCUAAUACAUGCAAGUCGAGCGAACGGACGAGAAGCUUGCUCCUCUGAUGUUAGCGGCGGACGGGUGAGUAACACGUGCAUAACCUACCUAUAAGACUGGGAUAACUUCGGGAAACCGGAGCUAAUACUGGAUAAUAUUUUGAACCGCAUGGUUCAAAAGUGAAAGACGGUUUUGCUGUCACUUAUAGAUGGUUCCGCGCUGCAUUAGCUAGUUGGUAAGGUAACGGCCUACCAAGGCAACGAUGCAUAGCCGACCUGAGAGGAUGAUCGGCCACACUGGAACUGAGACACGGUCCAGACUCCUACGGGAGGCAGCAGUAGGGAAUCUUCCGCAAUGGGCGAAAGCCUGACGGAGCAACGCCGCGUGAGUGAUGAAGGUCUUCGGAUCGUAAAACUCUGUUAUUAGGGAAGAACAUAUGUGUAAGAAACUGUGCACAUCUUGACGGUACCUAAUCAGAAAGCCACGGCUAACUACGUG
Molecule: ribosomal RNA, 497 nt
Filed under: uncultured bacterium
Lineage: Bacteria
Description: partial 16S ribosomal RNA
Rfam family: Bacterial small subunit ribosomal RNA
Source: RNAcentral